Molecule: ribosomal RNA, 251 nt
Filed under: uncultured prokaryote
Description: partial 16S rRNA
Rfam family: Archaeal small subunit ribosomal RNA
Source: RNAcentral
ACCGGCGGCUCGAGUGGUGGCCACUAUUACUGGGCUUAAAGCGUUCGUAGCUGGCUUGUUAAGUCUCUGGGGAAAUCUUCCGGCUCAACCGGAAGGCGUCUCAGGGAUACUGGCAGGCUAGGGACCGGAAGAGGUGAGAGGUAAUCCAGGGGUAGGAGUAAAAUCCUGUAAUCCUGGGGGGACCACCUGUGGCGAGGGCGUCUCCCAAGGCAGGCUCGACAGUGAGGAACGAAAGCUGGGGGAGCAAACCG